RNAcentral lists this ribosomal RNA (468 nucleotides) under uncultured bacterium. RNAcentral's name for it is "partial 16S ribosomal RNA". It matches the Rfam family "Bacterial small subunit ribosomal RNA", at positions 28 to 507 of the family's 1533-position model. The record is from RNAcentral.
GACGAACGCUGGCGGCGUGCUUAACACAUGCAGGUCGAACGGAAAGGCCCUGCUUUUGUGGGGUGCUCGAGUGGCGAACGGGUGAGUAACACGUGAGUAACCUGCCCUUGACUUUGGGAUAACUUCAGGAAACUGGGGCUAAUACCGGAUAGGAGCUCCUGCUGCAUGGUGGGGGUUGGAAAGUUUCGGCGGUUGGCGAUGGACUCGCGGCUUAUCAGCUUGUUGGUGGGGUAGUGGCUUACCAAGGCUUUGACGGGUAGCCGGCCUGAGAGGGUGACCGGCCACAUUGGGACUGAGAUACGGCCCAGACUCCUACGGGAGGCAGCAGUGGGGAAUAUUGCACAAUGGGCGGAAGCCUGAUGCAGCAACGCCGCGUGCGGGAUGACGGCCUUCGGGUUGUAAACCGCUUUCGCCUGUGACGAAGCGUGAGUGACGGUAAUGGGUAAAGAAGCACCGGCUAACUACGUG